CCUACGGGAGGCUGCAGUGGGGAAUAUUGCACAAUGGGGGGAACCCUGAUGCAGCGACGCCGCGUGAGUGAAGAAGUACCUCGGUACGUAAAGCCCUGUCAGCAGGGAAGAAAAUGACGGUACCUGAGCAAGAAGCCCCGGCUAACUACGUGACAGCAGCCGCGGUAAUACGUAGGGGGCAAGCGUUAUCCGGAUUUACUGGGUGUAAAGGGGGCGUAGACGGGGUUGCAGGUCUGGAGUGAAAUUCCGCAGCUUAACUCCGGAACUGCUUUUGAAACUGGGGGACUAGAGUGCAGGAGGGGUAAGCGGAAUUCCUGGUGUGGCGGUGAAAUGCGUAGAUAUCAGGAGGAACACCGGUGGCGAAGGCGGCCUACUGGACCGCAACUGACGUUGAGGCUCGAAAGCGUGGGGAGCAAACAGGAUUAGAUACCCUAGUAGUC
This 440-nucleotide ribosomal RNA is filed under the name uncultured bacterium. RNAcentral's name for it is "partial 16S ribosomal RNA". It matches the Rfam family "Bacterial small subunit ribosomal RNA", at positions 338 to 795 of the family's 1533-position model. The record is from RNAcentral.